CUACUGUGCCAUGUAGGGGGGCAGACAAUGGAAUUAUUAUGGAUGGAUGAUGGAUGGAUGGAUGGAUGGAUGGAUGGAUGGAUAGAUGGAUGGAUGAUGGAUGGAUGGAUGAUGGAUGGAUGAUGGAUGGAUGGAUGGAUGGAUGGAUGAUGGAUGGAUGGAUGGAUGAUGGAUGGAUGGGGAUGGAUGGAUGAUGGAUGGAUGGAUGGAUGGAUGAUGGAUGAUGGAUGGAUGGAUGGAUGAUGGAUGGAUGAUGGAUGGAUGGAUGAUGGAUGGAUGGAUGGAUGAUGGAUGGAUGGAUGGAUGGAUGGAUGAUGGAUGGAUGGAUGGAUGAUGGAUGGAUGGAUGGAUGUCAAGUCUGAUGCUUUUCAACACUGUUGCUAAUCUUUAACUC
This 394-nucleotide long non-coding RNA is filed under the name Parus major (Great Tit). RNAcentral's name for it is "lncRNA (ENSPMJG00000004930.1)". The record is from RNAcentral. Lineage: Eukaryota; Metazoa; Chordata; Aves; Passeriformes; Paridae.